RNAcentral lists this transfer RNA (76 nucleotides) under Aeromonas hydrophila. RNAcentral's name for it is "tRNA-Thr(cgt)". It matches the Rfam family "tRNA". Rfam says of the family: Transfer RNA (tRNA) molecules are approximately 80 nucleotides in length. The record is from RNAcentral. RNAcentral also lists the same sequence under 7 other names. Lineage: Bacteria; Pseudomonadati; Pseudomonadota; Gammaproteobacteria; Aeromonadales; Aeromonadaceae.
GCCGGUAUAGCUCAGUUGGUAGAGCAGCGCAUUCGUAAUGCGAAGGUCGCGGGUUCGACUCCUGUUACCGGCACCA